This 2725-nucleotide ribosomal RNA is filed under the name Klebsiella pneumoniae. RNAcentral's name for it is "bacterial LSU rRNA". It matches the Rfam family "Bacterial large subunit ribosomal RNA". The record is from RNAcentral. Lineage: Bacteria; Pseudomonadati; Pseudomonadota; Gammaproteobacteria; Enterobacterales; Enterobacteriaceae.
GCGAACCGGGGGAACUGAAACAUCUAAGUACCCCGAGGAAAAGAAAUCAACCGAGAUUCCCCCAGUAGCGGCGAGCGAACGGGGAGCAGCCCAGAGUCUGAAUCAGCUUGUGUGUUAGUGGAACGGUCUGGAAAGUCCGACGGUACAGGGUGAUAGUCCCGUACACCAAAAUGCACAGGCUGUGAACUCGAAGAGUAGGGCGGGACACGUGGUAUCCUGUCUGAAUAUGGGGGGACCAUCCUCCAAGGCUAAAUACUCCUGACUGACCGAUAGUGAACCAGUACCGUGAGGGAAAGGCGAAAAGAACCCCGGCGAGGGGAGUGAAAAAGAACCUGAAACCGUGUACGUACAAGCAGUGGGAGCACCUUCGGGUGUGACUGCGUACCUUUUGUAUAAUGGGUCAGCGACUUAUAUUCUGUAGCAAGGUUAACCGUAUAGGGGAGCCGCAGGGAAACCGAGUCUUAACUGGGCGUUAAGUUGCAGGGUAUAGACCCGAAACCCGGUGAUCUAGCCAUGGGCAGGUUGAAGGUUGGGUAACACUAACUGGAGGACCGAACCGACUAAUGUUGAAAAAUUAGCGGAUGACUUGUGGCUGGGGGUGAAAGGCCAAUCAAACCGGGAGAUAGCUGGUUCUCCCCGAAAGCUAUUUAGGUAGCGCCUCGUGAACUCAUCUUCGGGGGUAGAGCACUGUUUCGGCUAGGGGGUCAUCCCGACUUACCAACCCGAUGCAAACUACGAAUACCGAAGAAUGUUAUCACGGGAGACACACGGCGGGUGCUAACGUCCGUCGUGAAGAGGGAAACAACCCAGACCGCCAGCUAAGGUCCCAAAGUCAUGGUUAAGUGGGAAACGAUGUGGGAAGGCACAGACAGCCAGGAUGUUGGCUUAGAAGCAGCCAUCAUUUAAAGAAAGCGUAAUAGCUCACUGGUCGAGUCGGCCUGCGCGGAAGAUGUAACGGGGCUAAACCAUGCACCGAAGCUGCGGCAGCGACACUAUGUGUUGUUGGGUAGGGGAGCGUUCUGUAAGCCUGCGAAGGUGACCUGUGAGGGUUGCUGGAGGUAUCAGAAGUGCGAAUGCUGACAUAAGUAACGAUAAAGCGGGUGAAAAGCCCGCUCGCCGGAAGACCAAGGGUUCCUGUCCAACGUUAAUCGGGGCAGGGUGAGUCGACCCCUAAGGCGAGGCCGAAAGGCGUAGUCGAUGGGAAACAGGUUAAUAUUCCUGUACUUGGUGUUACUGCGAAGGGGGGACGGAGAAGGCUAUGUUAGCCGGGCGACGGUUGUCCCGGUUUAAGCAUGUAGGCUGGUUGUCCAGGCAAAUCCGGAUAAUCAAGGCUGAGGUGUGAUGACGAGGCACUACGGUGCUGAAGUAACAAAUGCCCUGCUUCCAGGAAAAGCCUCUAAGCAUCAGGUAACAUCAAAUCGUACCCCAAACCGACACAGGUGGUCAGGUAGAGAAUACCAAGGCGCUUGAGAGAACUCGGGUGAAGGAACUAGGCAAAAUGGUGCCGUAACUUCGGGAGAAGGCACGCUGGUGUGUAGGUGAAGCCCCUGCGGGUGGAGCUGAGACCAGUCGAAGAUACCAGCUGGCUGCAACUGUUUAUUAAAAACACAGCACUGUGCAAACACGAAAGUGGACGUAUACGGUGUGACGCCUGCCCGGUGCCGGAAGGUUAAUUGAUGGGGUUAUCCGUAAGGAGAAGCUCUUGAUCGAAGCCCCGGUAAACGGCGGCCGUAACUAUAACGGUCCUAAGGUAGCGAAAUUCCUUGUCGGGUAAGUUCCGACCUGCACGAAUGGCGUAAUGAUGGCCAGGCUGUCUCCACCCGAGACUCAGUGAAAUUGAACUCGCUGUGAAGAUGCAGUGUACCCGCGGCAAGACGGAAAGACCCCGUGAACCUUUACUAUAGCUUGACACUGAACAUUGAGCCUUGAUGUGUAGGAUAGGUGGGAGGCUUUGAAGCGUGGACGCCAGUCUGCGUGGAGCCAACCUUGAAAUACCACCCUUUAAUGUUUGAUGUUCUAACGUUGGCCCCUGACCGGGGUUGCGGACAGUGUCUGGUGGGUAGUUUGACUGGGGCGGUCUCCUCCCAAAGCGUAACGGAGGAGCACGAAGGUUAGCUAAUCCUGGUCGGACAUCAGGAGGUUAGUGCAAUGGCAUAAGCUAGCUUGACUGCGAGCGUGACGGCGCGAGCAGGUGCGAAAGCAGGUCAUAGUGAUCCGGUGGUUCUGAAUGGAAGGGCCAUCGCUCAACGGAUAAAAGGUACUCCGGGGAUAACAGGCUGAUACCGCCCAAGAGUUCAUAUCGACGGCGGUGUUUGGCACCUCGAUGUCGGCUCAUCACAUCCUGGGGCUGAAGUAGGUCCCAAGGGUAUGGCUGUUCGCCAUUUAAAGUGGUACGCGAGCUGGGUUUAGAACGUCGUGAGACAGUUCGGUCCCUAUCUGCCGUGGGCGCUGGAGAAUUGAGGGGGGCUGCUCCUAGUACGAGAGGACCGGAGUGGACGCAUCACUGGUGUUCGGGUUGUCAUGCCAAUGGCACUGCCCGGUAGCUAAAUGCGGAAGAGAUAAGUGCUGAAAGCAUCUAAGCACGAAACUUGCCCCGAGAUGAGUUCUCCCUGAGACUUUAAGUCUCCUGAAGGAACGUUAAAGACGAUGACGUUGAUAGGCCGGGUGUGUAAGCGCAGCGAUGCGUUGAGCUAACCGGUACUAAUGAACCGUGAGGCUUAACCUU